GGCCGUGUAGCUUAAAUAGAGUGGUGGUUUUGUAAGUCAUAGGUGCAUAUAUGUUGCCGCGGUCU
RNAcentral lists this transfer RNA (65 nucleotides) under Solecurtus divaricatus (divaricate short razor). Its description in RNAcentral is "tRNA-Thr". It matches the Rfam family "tRNA". From Rfam's summary of the family: Transfer RNA (tRNA) molecules are approximately 80 nucleotides in length. Lineage: Eukaryota; Metazoa; Mollusca; Bivalvia; Cardiida; Solecurtidae. The record is from RNAcentral.